UAGAUAAAGAACCAAUAUUUUUGGUGACUCAUAAUAACUUUACGGAUCACAUUAUGUGACAUAUCAUUCAAGUUUUGACCUAUCAGCUUUAGACGGUAGGGUAUUGGCCUACCGUGGCUAUGACGGGUAACGGGGAAUUAGGGUUCGAUUCCGGAGAGGGAGCCUGAGAAACGGCUACCACAUCUAAGGAAGGCAGCAGGCGCGCAAAUUACCCAAUCCUAAUACAGGGAGGUAGUGACAAGAAAUAACAAUACAGAACCUUACGGUUUUGUAAUUGGAAUGAGUUAAGUAUAAACCCCUUAACAAGUAUCAAUUGGAGGGCAAGUCUGGUGCCAGCAGCCGCGGUAAUUCCAGCUCCAAUAGCGUAUAUUAAAGUUGUUGCAGUUAAAAAGCUCGUAGUUAAUCUUCUGUUAAUUUUUAUAUAUAAUAUCUCGAUAUUUAUAUAAUAUUAACAUAAUUCAUAUUACUUUUUAGUAUAUGAAACUUUACUUUGAGAAAAUUAGAGUGCUUAAAGCAGGCUAUUGCCUUGAAUACUCCAGCAUGGAAUAAUAUUAAGGAUUUUUAUUCUUCUUAUUGGUUCUAGAAUAAAAAUGAUGAUUAAUAGGAACAGUUGGGGGCAUUUGUAUUUAACAGUCAGAGGUGAAAUUCUUAGAUUUGUUAAAGACAAACUACUGCGAAAGCAUUUGCCAAGGAUGUUUUCAUUAAUCAAGAACGAAAGUUAGGGGAUCGAAGACGAUCAGAUACCGUCGUAGUCUUAACCAUAAACUAUGCCAACUA
Molecule: ribosomal RNA, 777 nt
Filed under: Cryptosporidium xiaoi
Lineage: Eukaryota; Apicomplexa; Conoidasida; Eucoccidiorida; Cryptosporidiidae
Description: SSU rRNA
Rfam family: Eukaryotic small subunit ribosomal RNA
Source: RNAcentral